Molecule: ribosomal RNA, 301 nt
Filed under: uncultured bacterium
Lineage: Bacteria
Description: partial 16S ribosomal RNA
Rfam family: Bacterial small subunit ribosomal RNA
Source: RNAcentral
CAGUCGCCACGGGAAUACGGAGGGUGCAAGCGUUAAUCGGAAUUACUGGGCGUAAAGCGCACGCAGGCGGUUUGUUAAGUCAGAUGUGAAAUCCCCGGGCUCAACCUGGGAACUGCAUUUGAAACUGGCAAGCUAGAGUCUCGUAGAGGGGGGUAGAAUUCCAGGUGUAGCGGUGAAAUGCGUAGAGAUCUGGAGGAAUACCGGUGGCGAAGGCGGCCCCCUGGACGAAGACUGACGCUCAGGUGCGAAAGCGUGGGGAGCAAACAGGAUUAGAGACCCCGGUAGUCCCUGUCUCUUAUCC